UGCACGACCAUUAUUCUGAAAAACAGAGAGAAAAGAAAACCAAAAACCAUUUCUUGGCUGGUUUGAAGAAAUUCUAAGGAGAUCCAAGUGAAAGCAAAGCCAAAGAAGUAGAUUAAGCUUAGUUCUAGCCUUUUUAUGAUAUUUCUUGGGGUUUCCAAGUGGUUUGAGGUUUAGAAAAGCUUGAAGAGAUUGUUUUCGCCGAAAAGUUGAUCGGAUAAGGACAUCAAUACCUAAGACAUCACUUGUUACACGGUGAAAUAUAUUGUGGACAAAAGGUAGAGAAAGAAAUAUGCGAAUGAUAUGAGGAGAACUGAAGCAUGGUCCUGACCCUGAUUUGUACAUAUGAACACAUCGACCUUUUUGUGGGUUAUUUCAGUUAUCAGUGAGAUGUUUGUAAUAAAGUGUGAAGUUAUGUUUUGAAAAUAAAUUGGGUUAUUUAAUACUUAUGUAUAAUAUGUUUGAGACACACUUUAUGUUUAAUGUAAAUAAUGUGAAAUAAGUUUUCAAGUUUUAAAAAAAAAAAAAAAAAAAAUGUCCAAACUUCCGCAGAAAUAAAUUAUGAUAUAGUUUUAAAACGUAACACCUCAAAUAUGAUUUUUAACUAAAAUAAGUGAGGGUGUUACACAGAUGAACCACCACCUACUACUGCAACAAAGGCUAGGAGAGUUGGCCAAGUUAAUCACUGCAGCAAUUGUAAGCAAACAGGCCAUUCACGAGUAACAUGCAAGAAUGCAACUAUGGAGCCUGCAAGGCAAAAAAAGAGAGGAAGACCACCAUCUCAGAAUCCUACUACUGAAACUAUUAAAAGGAAGGAGCGAGCUAAGAGACAGAAGCAAAGGAAUGGUGGUUCCACAUCUCAGACCAACUAAGAAGCUGCUCUUUAAUCUUAAACCCUUUUGAUGUAGAAAACUUGUUUUCUUUUUGGUGUAGUCGCCAUACAAUAUAGGCAUUACCAUACUUUUGACAUGUACAUAUUCAGUCUGACUUUAUCAAUAUUUUGGGACAUCUUGGCCAUUAGGAAUACUUUUGACAUGUAGACAUUAUGCUACUUAAUAUGUCAUAUGUUUGCUCUGUAAAGUUGAAAAUAUUAAUCAAUGACAAAAUAUCUGGUUUGGUGCA
Long non-coding RNA from Humulus lupulus (European hop), 1119 nucleotides. RefSeq lists it as uncharacterized. Lineage: Eukaryota; Viridiplantae; Streptophyta; Magnoliopsida; Rosales; Cannabaceae. The transcript is spliced from 5 exons. The record is from RefSeq and is a predicted model, not a curated record.